RNAcentral lists this long non-coding RNA (219 nucleotides) under Hordeum vulgare. RNAcentral's name for it is "long non-coding RNA (HVUL_LNC015884)". The record is from RNAcentral. Lineage: Eukaryota; Viridiplantae; Streptophyta; Magnoliopsida; Poales; Poaceae.
UAAGCGCUAUUUAGCCCAUUGAGGUAAUUCCUGUUUUCCUUUUUCUUAUUCUAGAGACACUAGUUAAUUCAUAAAUAAUUCAUUUGACUCCAAAUUUGAUGAUUCAAAGUCCUACUGGAUCAUAAAAUCAUAACUUAUCCAAAUAUGUGCUUUGCACAUUUUCCAAAGGUAUUUUCUGUAGUGUUAACAUUCAAAUUAAAAUUUCAAUAUUUUAAACCC